This 639-nucleotide long non-coding RNA is filed under the name Carassius auratus (goldfish). RNAcentral's name for it is "lncRNA (ENSCARG00000033146.1)". Lineage: Eukaryota; Metazoa; Chordata; Actinopteri; Cypriniformes; Cyprinidae. The record is from RNAcentral.
CUGAACACAGCCUUCAUCCACCUCAUGAAGGAUGAAAACCUUAAAGAUCAUAACCAUCAUACAAACUAUUGCAAGAUUCUCUUGGUCUGCCUAUUUGCACCAGUCCAAAACCAACCUCAGCCCCUGCAAACAAAGGUGAUGCUGAAUCUGUGAAUCCACAUGGAUUCUUCCCGUCUCCAGAGCUACUGAGGUGUUUCGUUCUGGGGUUCUUUCUUUUGAUUGCAGUCAUCACAAAUAUCCUCUUGUGUGAUCAUGAUAAAAGAAGAAAGCUGUUAGAGACAUGAACCUGCAGACCUCAGGUGAAGGAAAAUAACUAUGCUUUCCAUCUCGUCAUGGUCAAAAACAACAGCAGUGAUGCUAAGGUUCCUGUAUCUCCUCAGCGUAUCUGAGCGCAGAGGAGCGUUGAGAGUGCAUCGUAUGACACAGACUAUGAGCAACAUGACAUCAGUCCGGAAACAGCUUUUCCUUUAUCCACUUCUCAAAACAUUGAGAAAGCAGGAGAGACCAAGGAUGGUUGUAACGUGGGGUCAGCUGUUAUUACGUUUAACCACACAGAAAUUAGGUACAGAGAUGAAAUUGCUAGCAGGGUUGAGGGGAAUUAUUUUCAAAAACAAAUUGUUUAAUGGUAACACUUUAUAG